Molecule: small RNA, 28 nt
Filed under: Bombyx mori (domestic silkworm)
Lineage: Eukaryota; Metazoa; Arthropoda; Insecta; Lepidoptera; Bombycidae
Description: ovarian small RNA-26537
Source: RNAcentral
UCCAAGCGGAGAGCGUGGGCGACCAGAU